This 768-nucleotide long non-coding RNA is filed under the name Ananas comosus (pineapple). RNAcentral describes it as "long non-coding RNA (ACOM_LNC002807)". The record is from RNAcentral. Lineage: Eukaryota; Viridiplantae; Streptophyta; Magnoliopsida; Poales; Bromeliaceae.
GAAAUAUCCAAAUCACAUGAAAUUUUGAUAGAAAAUUCUUUAUACUAUAUAAAACAAGAUCAAUAUCUUUGAUCUAAAAUUUUAAUGUUAUAUUAUCAUGUUUUGUAAGAUUUUUAUUUUCAGCCAUUGAUUUUGAGCCCCUUCGUUUACUAGGCAAAUAAUAUCGAAAAAUCGCAUAAUUUAUUUUCUAGCUAGGUACUUCAAAUAUUCUAGAUCAAGUUUAAUGAAGCGAUCGACGAUUCGAAAGUCGCAACAUGAAAAACGAUCUGGAAGCACAUAAGGUUCCGUGCUUCUAGAAGUAUAGUAGCCUCACUCUAGAGAGAGAGAGAGAGAGAGAGAGAGAGAGAGAGAGGCUACUGUGCUAUUAAGAGCAUAUAUAUAUAUAUAUAUAUAUAUAUAUAUAUAGAGAGAGAGAGAGAGAGAGAGAGAGAGAGAGAGAGAGAGAGAGAGAGAGAGGGGGUUACUGUGCUAUUAAGAGCACAGCAGCUCAUAUGCUCCUAAAUUUCUAACCAUCCAACAAUUUUGAUGGAUAGUUAUGAUGAGAGAAAGAUGAAAAAUUAACUAAAAAUUGGGUGUCUUAAUUUUGAGAAAAGAAGUAAUAGAUAGAACAUGUGAAAUUGACAGAAAAAAAGAGAUGAGAAUUGAACCCAUUAGUUAGAACAUAACAUUCGUGAAAUAGCAAAAACUUAGCAUUAGUUCUGAUGCUUGUGUUAUCACGAGAUCAAUCUGAUAAAAAAUAAUCUAAAAAUAUAUUUUUUACACUGGUGA